AUGCACUGGUUUGCAUGUUUGAAGUUGUGUGGGCCAAAGAAAUAAGGUGGAAUGGGAUCUCAAGAUAUUCAUUGUUUUAACCUAGCCCUUCUUGCGAAACAUGCUUGGUGGUUAAUUGAUAAUCCUAAUUCCCUUUGUGUUCGUGUUCUCAAAGCCAAAUAUUAUCCAGAUUGUGAUAUUUUGAAUGCAACUCUGAAAAAGAGAGCCUCAUUCACAUGGCAAAGUAUUAUGUCGGGGGUGUAGACCCUAAAAGGAGGCCAUGUAUUAUGGAUCCAUGAUGGUAGUCGGAUCAAUGUUUGGGGUGAUGAAAGGAUCCCUAACUCACCUACCAGGAAAGUGAUCACGGCUCGUGGAAGCAAUUUACUAUGAAAAGCAAGUGAUUUCAUUGACCCUGUUACGGGUCGUUGGGAUGAAGAGUUAGUUUCUCAAACAUUCUGGAAAGUUGAUGUGGCGCGGAUCCUUGCAAUUCCAUUACUUGAAUUUGAUAUGUCAGACCUUGUAGCAUGGAACUUGUGCAAAAAUGGGAGAUUUUCUGUGAGAUCGGCAUACUUUGCGGAGUGGCACGACCAAUAUGGACAUAAAAUAUCAUGAGAAAAUACAGUCGGACCCUCAUGGAAUUCACCAAUAUGGGGGACGAUCUGGAGCUUAAGUUGUCCUGGCAAGGUUAAAAUUUUCCUCUGGCAAACUUUGUUAGGAUCGCUUCCAUGUCGAGUGACUUUGGCUAACAUACAUAUAAAAGUCAGUGGGCAAUGCCCUACAUGCAGUAUAGGAACGUAGGAUACCAAGCACUUGUUGUUCACUUGUGCAAAAGCUGAAGAGGUAUGAGGGUUACUUGGUUUGGACUUUGCUAUUGAUAAAGCAUGCGUUGUGAAUCAUGUGGGAGAAGUUGUGCUAGAAUAUUUAUUGCUACAACCAGUUGAAGAUGUGUGGUCCUCGGUCUGGAAAAUUGAAUGA
This 954-nucleotide ribosomal RNA is filed under the name Triticum aestivum (bread wheat). RNAcentral's name for it is "partial small subunit ribosomal RNA". The record is from RNAcentral. Lineage: Eukaryota; Viridiplantae; Streptophyta; Magnoliopsida; Poales; Poaceae.